UCUCUUUGGAACCCCGUCUCCUGUCGCUGGCCUGUGAUUUGGCUGUGCAGCCAGUGUCUCCAUGUAUUUCCGCAUCUUCUCAACCAUCCAGGAUGGCAGAACAAAGGAUUUCAGCUCCUCCAACUUCAGGUCCAAGCAUCCUCUGAAGGAGACAUGGGAUGGACAUUAAGGGGAGGGUGACAGUCUUGUCCGUGUGCCUAGUGAGGCAGAAGCAGGAUGGGGAAAGGGGCCUUCGUUGUACCUGUAGUCAUCGCUGGCAGCCAAGUCCCGGAUGUCUUCUUCAAUGAGAAGGGGCCCAGAGUCUCGGCCACUGUCAAUGUUCACGCAAGCAUACCUUGGGGCCUUCUCGGCGAAUUGGUUCACAGGAUUUUGGUUUCCAUCUGCUCAGAAGGAAAAAAGAAAGCAGCUGCCCUGAGCUCAACCCGGAUGUAAGUGGUUUCCUGAUGUCCCCCAAGU
Molecule: long non-coding RNA, 456 nt
Filed under: Mus caroli (Ryukyu mouse)
Lineage: Eukaryota; Metazoa; Chordata; Mammalia; Rodentia; Muridae
Description: lncRNA (MGP_CAROLIEiJ_G0003309.1)
Source: RNAcentral